This 1316-nucleotide long non-coding RNA is filed under the name Sorghum bicolor (sorghum). RNAcentral describes it as "long non-coding RNA (SBIC_LNC005033)". Lineage: Eukaryota; Viridiplantae; Streptophyta; Magnoliopsida; Poales; Poaceae. The record is from RNAcentral.
CUUGCUUUAAUCUACUGCACUUAAUAAACAUGAAAACAAAAUAAAAAGAGUGUGUAGAUAAGUAUGCUUUAUUUUCCUGCUAAGUUUAAUUUCUAGAAAAUAAUAAAAAGACCAAAAAUAUGCAUGAUGGAAAUGAUGAACAGUUGCUCUGUUUGCUUACUUACAAGUACCUAGCUUUUAUAUUAGAAUUCUUCCAGGAAUUACUAAAACUAAAAUUACUAUCUUUGGGAAAGCAUAAACUAAAGUCUAGGUAAGAGAAAGGCAUGAUAUAAAGUUGAGCUACUGUUUAUCUCGUUCCUACUACACUAAGUUCUGGAGAUUUAUUUUUGAAAACUUACAGAUCACAUGAUGAGUUCCUAGCAUAACAAACUACCUACCACAGCCAUACUUGCUAUAACAUCUUUACUAUAUUCACAUUGAGUUUGAUCGAGCUGUGUUGACCCUUAGGAGCUUUUCAUGUGGUUAAAUUAAGAUAUUCACUUGCACGCAUCUACCACAGCAUUCAUUAUCAAUCAUUAAAAUUGCUAAAAAUAUUAUCACUCACUGUCCCGAAUAUUGUUAUUCUCUCUCUCUAAAAGGAUUCAAUGCAGAAGAGGCAUGGGUUAUGCAAAAAAAUAUAUAUACGAGGAAAUAAAAAGGGGCAAGUGCCCGGAACCUCGAUAAAAGAAAAAGAGUGAGACGAGAGGUAAAAAUGGACAAGUGUCCGAAGUAGAAUUAGGGGUACAAAGAUGCCCACUUGAGAGGUAAAAAUGGACAAGUGUCCGACAGUAGAAUUAGGGGUAUCUAUUACCCACCUGAAAAAAAAGAAAAGAGAGAAAAGAUAGCCCAUGUUCUCCCAAGGCAAAGGUAAAAGAAGAGGAGAGAUAGCAAUAUGAGGAGCAAUGAGAACUAAGAUUUAUUAACACUAUCACCAUCACUAUCAUUUACUCCACCACACAUGCACAUCUUGAUUUAAUUAUAUGCUGAGUUCCUUUGGAUCCAUGGCUCGAUUAGACAACAUAUGUAUGAGCUGUUUGCACUCCUAUGAGCUCCACUUAAUUAUUCCAUUAGCUAUAGGUAAGUGACAUUAUGGUAAGGAUCCACAAAUACCACAUAUAGAGAGACUUGAGAGAAUCAUUGCUAGGAACUCUGAGUUUUAUUUUGAUAACUUAUGAAAAACUCUAGAACAAAGGUGAAGUAUAGACAGGAGGGAUAGUGCUUGACUUAACUAUUUUGUCUUUCGAUUACUUAAGAUUUAAGUGCAGGUACUAAACUUCAUAACACUUCACUUUAAUCUGGAAGGAUUUUUAUGUAAAAGCAUGUGUGCCUGUCAGGAA